RNAcentral lists this ribosomal RNA (464 nucleotides) under uncultured bacterium. RNAcentral's name for it is "bacterial SSU rRNA". It matches the Rfam family "Bacterial small subunit ribosomal RNA", at positions 199 to 644 of the family's 1533-position model. The record is from RNAcentral.
GGAGGAAGCAGGGGAUCGCAAGACCUUGCGCUUUUGGAGCGGCCGAUGCCUGAUUAGCUUGUUGGUGAGGUAAAAGCUCACCAAGGCUCCGAUCAGUAGCUGGUCUGAGAGGACGACCAGCCACACUGGGACUGAGACACGGCCCAGACUCCUACGGGAGGCAGCAGUGGGGAAUUUUGGACAAUGGGGGCAACCCUGAUCCAGCCAUGCCGCGUGAGUGAAGAAGGCCUUCGGGUUGUAAAGCUCUUUCAGCCGGAACGAAACGGUCACGGUUAAUACCCGUGACUACUGACGGUACCGGAAGAAGAAGCACCGGCUAACUACGUGCCAGCAGCCGCGGUAAUACGUAGGGUGCGAGCGUUAAUCGGAAUUACUGGGCGUAAAGCGUGCGCAGGUGGUUUUGUAAGUCAGAUGUGAAAUCCCCGGGCUUAACCUGGGAACUGCGUUUGAAACUACAAAGCUAG